This 734-nucleotide small RNA is filed under the name Pongo abelii (Sumatran orangutan). RNAcentral's name for it is "processed transcript". Lineage: Eukaryota; Metazoa; Chordata; Mammalia; Primates; Hominidae. The record is from RNAcentral.
CCUUUCCCUUUCGGAUUCCGGACGCGGUGGUUGCUGUAACAGGUCCUCUCUGCGCCGCACGGCCGUCGCCAUGGUGAAGCUGAGCAAAGAGGCCAAGCAGAGACUACAGCAGCUCUUCAAGGGGGGCCAGUUUGCCAUUCGCUGGGGCUUUAUCCCUCUUGUGAUUUACUUGGUCUACUUUGGGGAUAAAGGAUUAUUCGGUCUUCUGGAUUUGGAGGCAAUCAGCGGACAGCAUGGAAGAUGUGUGCUCUGGCUCGGAUAAGAGAUGGGACAUCAUUCAGUCACUAGUUGGAUGGCACAAGGCUCUUCACAGAUGCAUCUGUAGCAGAGUGGAACUUGUACUAACUUAUGAUAGAAUGUAUCAGAAUAAAUGUUUUUAACAAUGUUAUGCUUGAGUCUUUUUUGAAUUGAACAUGCUAGGAUUAUCAGGUAAAAAUUAAGCCUUUUGGUACUUUUUCAAAACAGAGAAUUUAUGUAUGGUACCUAGGUGCUAUUUAUGCCUGUAAAUCCCAGCACUUUGGGAGGCCAAGGUGGGCGGAUCACGAUAUAAAAAAAUUUUUCCAAGUUAUUCCUGCCCAUUGACCUAACAUAUGGAUUACAGUUUCCCUUUGCAGUGAAUUAAUAACUCCUUCUAGGAUAUUCCGAAGUAGUAAGAAUACAGAUAGUUCUCAGUUUGUGACAAGCCAAGCUGUUACUUCCUCCUCUGCAUUAAAGUUCUGACUGCAAGAAAUAAA